This 79-nucleotide transfer RNA is filed under the name Marmota monax (woodchuck). Its description in RNAcentral is "tRNA.Ala". The record is from RNAcentral. Lineage: Eukaryota; Metazoa; Chordata; Mammalia; Rodentia; Sciuridae.
GGGGCUAUGGCUCAGUGGUAGAACCCUUGCCUAGCAUGCAAGUGUUCUACCAAAGCCCUGGGUCAAAUCCCUAGCACUG